Molecule: ribosomal RNA, 305 nt
Filed under: uncultured bacterium
Lineage: Bacteria
Description: bacterial SSU rRNA
Rfam family: Bacterial small subunit ribosomal RNA
Source: RNAcentral
GGUCCUACGGGGGGCAGCAGUAGGGAAUCUUCGGCAAUGGGCGAAAGCCUGACCGAGCAACGCCGCGUGAAUGAAGAAGGCCUUCGGGUUGUAAAAUUCUGUUAUAAGGGAAGAAAGGUGAUAGGAGGAAAUGACUAUCAAUUGACGGUACCUUAUGAGAAAGCCACGGCUAACUACGUGCCAGCAGCCGCGGUAAUACGUAGGGAGCGAGCGUUGUCCGGAUUUACUGGGUGUAAAGGGUGCGCAGGCGGCUCUGCAAGUCAGGCGUGAAAGCUAGGGGCUCAACCCCUAAAUUGCGCUUGAAA